CCUACGGGUGGCAGCAGUGGGGAAUAUUGGUCAAUGGGCGCUAGCCUGAACCAGCCAAGUAGCGUGAAGGAUGACUGCCCUAUGGGUUGUAAACUUCUUUUAUAUGGGAAUAAAGUGCAGUAUGUAUACUGCUUUGCAUGUACCUUAUGAAUAAGGAACGGCUAACUCCGUGCCAGCAGCCGCGGUAAUACGGAGGAUUCGGUCGUUAUCCGGAUUUGUUUGGUUUAAAGGGAGCGCAGGCGGGUUGUUAAGUCAGUUGUGAAAGUUUGCGGCUUAACCGUAAAAUUGCAGUUGAUACUGGCAUCCUUGAGUACAGUAGAGGUAGGCGGAAUUCGUGGUGUAGCGGUGAAAUGCUUAGAGAUCACGAAGAACUCCGAUUGCGAAGGCAGCCUGUUGGAAUGUAACUGACGCUGAUGCUCGAAAGUGUGGGUAUCAAACAGGAUUAGAUACCCCUGUAGUC
This 460-nucleotide ribosomal RNA is filed under the name uncultured bacterium. RNAcentral describes it as "partial 16S ribosomal RNA". It matches the Rfam family "Bacterial small subunit ribosomal RNA", at positions 338 to 795 of the family's 1533-position model. The record is from RNAcentral.